AUCAGAAAUUUAUUUCUCAUAGUCUGAGAGGAGAGAUAUGGGGUUCACAACAUAAAAAUCCAGGGUUAAUUGCUUAGAAAGCCUCCAAAAUUGAUGAAAUUAAUGUUCUAAAGCAAGCAUUUGAAAUAAAUUUUGAGUUAGUACCAUAUUUUGUGUACUACAAAUAGCACACAAAUUUGGUUAAGAUAUAAUAUGGCCCAGUGAGAAACACUGGGCAGGAAGGGAGAGGUGAAAGAGACAGAGAGUUCUAGAAAUCAUGAGUGUAAAACCAUAUGGAUGAAAUUUUAUGAAUUUCUAUAACUUUUGAGAUUUUAAUAAGGAGCUAAUAUGGUGAGCUGUCAAGUUCCUAGAGAAAAAAAAUGAGACUAUGAUUCAGAAUUGACCCAGACACACUGACACAGACAGGUACAAAUCAGAGCUGGAUUCUGGUGCUUCCAAUGUGUGUUUCCCGCAGGGAAGUCUGUGCCAAUGUUAUGGCACAUUCUUACAUUGACUUUCUGGUGGCCUCACACCUUGUUUGAAGUUGUUUUU
Molecule: long non-coding RNA, 531 nt
Organism: Perognathus longimembris pacificus (Pacific pocket mouse)
Lineage: Eukaryota; Metazoa; Chordata; Mammalia; Rodentia; Heteromyidae
Exons: 3
Source: RefSeq, a predicted model, not a curated record